Molecule: long non-coding RNA, 1133 nt
Organism: Anastrepha ludens (Mexican fruit fly)
Lineage: Eukaryota; Metazoa; Arthropoda; Insecta; Diptera; Tephritidae
Exons: 2
Source: RefSeq, a predicted model, not a curated record
ACCUGCUGGUCGCAAAGUGAAAAUACACAAGAAUAAAAUGUGUGAAUUGAGUCAAAAGUUCUAAAUUUAAAUAAAAAUGAUGAACAAAAUGGAGAAUGCAAGAAUCGGCCAAUGAUAUAGAGGUAUGUACUGUUGCCUCCAGACUCCAGUCACCGUUGUUGCAGUUUCGGAAAUACAAAUCGGAAGCAUUGAAGGUAUCUUUUGUAUUGCUUCUACUUUUUGGUUAUUAACUAAUUUAGCAAUAUAGACGGAAGCAUGGAAAAUAUGAAGAAAGCUGUGAUUGCCACAAUACAACUGCUAAUGGAAUAUUCUUCAUCUGGCAGCAAUGAUGAAAGGGAUCAAAUUAUUGUGGACAAAAUAACACCAUGUGAUGCUGAGCUUAUUACUUUGUAUUUUAUUUGCUUCUUUUUCUAUUUAAUACGAGAUAACUCAACUGAAAAAAUUUGUACUUUUUGUGAUUUUUCCCGCCAACAAUUCAACUAACUGUUCGUAAAACUUACAAAUUGUUACUGAUUUUGCAUUCAUCUACUUUUUUUUGAUGAUAUUUUUCUCUUUGCAAGCGAAUGCUUGGAAAUUAAGUUACUGGCAAGUUACUAGAUAAUUUUACAUUAGCAAACCUAUUGUAUCCCGUACAUAUGAGGUUCAGCGAACUAGACAGUGCUAGUUUACUGUGCUACCAAUGUCAUUCCGGUAUGUAGAAGCGGCUUUCAUGGAAAUGAGAGCCCUAGAACCGGCUGCCGUACUUCUCUUUUCAAAUUGUGGCGAAUCGUUGUUUUGGAAAAUCGCAUAGUACAGGCUUGUAUCCUCUUAGUAGAGAUUUGUAUCCUGUUAGUAGAGGUUUAUAUCCAGAGAGAUUUGCGUUCUUUGAGGAGUGGUUUUGAUGCCAAUUUAACACAAAAUAUGAUAAUUCUCCGCAUUAUAUUUUUUUUUUCAAAAGUGAGCUCGCACUAGGAGUAAUUUAUUCCUCAAAUUGUACCAAAAAUGUAGUGUAAAAAAAAUUUUCCGCCUAAUAAAGUCAACUUACUGAGUUUCGUUUAUUUAUUUUCGUGUCUUAAUAAAAAUAGCAAACUAUGGUGUUUUUUAAGCCGGUCUAUAAAUAAAUAAACUACAUACAUAAGUACUUUUUUUUUUAA